ACAACUCUUAUCGAUAAGCCAUUGGAGGGCAAGUCUGGUGCCAGCAGCCGCGGUAAUUCCAGCUCCAAUAGCGUAUAUUAACGUUGUUGCAGUUAAAAAGCUCGUAGUUGAAGUGAGGGAGUGUGUGGGUAUGAGAGCUAGUCUCAAGUACUUACAACCUCCCCCCUCCAAUCGGUGUAGUGGGGUAUUCAGUUAUUCUACUACUCCUUUGGUCGUUUACUGUGAGAAAAUUAGAGUGUUCAAAGCGGGCGUUUGUUUGAAUAGAUUAGCAUGGAAUAAUGAUUGAAGGCUUUCGUGUUCGAUUUGAUUGGUUUGUUCAUGGAAGCAAGGUUAAAAGGAACAGUUGGGGGUAUUCAUAUUCACUAGUUAGAGGUGAAAUUCUCGGAUUUAUGGAAGAUGAACAAGUGCGAAAGCAA
Molecule: ribosomal RNA, 416 nt
Filed under: Blastocystis sp. subtype 2
Lineage: Eukaryota; Bigyra; Opalinata; Blastocystidae
Description: bacterial SSU rRNA
Rfam family: Eukaryotic small subunit ribosomal RNA
Source: RNAcentral